RNAcentral lists this unclassified non-coding RNA (348 nucleotides) under soil metagenome. RNAcentral's name for it is "partial contains 5.8S ribosomal RNA, internal transcribed spacer 2, and large subunit ribosomal RNA". The stretch from base 1 to 120 matches the Rfam family "5.8S ribosomal RNA", at positions 35 to 154 of the family's 154-position model. The record is from RNAcentral.
GAUGAAGAACGUAGCGAAAUGCGAUAAGUAAUGUGAAUUGCAGAAUUCAGUGAAUCAUCGAGUCUUUGAACGCACAUUGCGCCCCCUGGUAUUCCGGGGGGCAUGCCUGUCCGAGCGUCAUUUCAACCCUCAUGCCCCUAGGGCGUGGUGUUGGGGAUCGGCCAAAGCCCGCGAGGGACGGCCGGCCCCUAAAUCUAGUGGCGGACCCGUCGUGGCCUCCUCUGCGAAGUAGUGAUAUUCCGCAUCGGAGAGCGAUGAGCCCCUGCCGUUAAACCCCCAACUUUCCAAGGUUGACCUCAGAUCAGGUAGGAAUACCCGCUGAACUUAAGCAUAUCAAUAAGCGGAGGA